CAAGUAUAUAAUAUAAAUAGAAAUAUAUAAUAAUAUAUUAAUUAUGACAUUAAUAAAUAUUAAUGUUUUAUUAAUUAAUAUUAAUUAAUAAUGUAUAUGUGGAUGAAAUUAUGUAUACACCAUAUAUAUACAAUAUAUAAUAUAUGUACAUACAGUACACAGACACACAUGUAGAGAGAGCUUGCUCCCCUCUCUGUGCCCCAUUUGCUCAGUUUUUAGCAUCUCCUCCUCUCUGCACCCUUCCUGGAUAACCAGUUUUAUUCUUCUAGGAUUACUUCAUGCACAUAAAAGAAAACGCAACUACAGUGGACCCUGAACAACAUCGCCUCCACCCUGCUUCCCUUGUCCCCACACCACACUCCAGCCCAGGAACCAGCCAGGAAACAGAGAAGCAAAGAAGUUAGCAAGCUUGUUUUGGCAGAAGAAAAAACACAAAAUGCCCAACCACAGAUCCUCAAAAAUAUUGCUAAGCACUAAUUUUGCUAACAUGUUAGACAGCCUUCGGAUCUAGGCAAUCUUGUUCCUCAGCUGGAAAGAGUUCCUGCCAGCCAUGUGAUUCCAAAUCCACCCUGGACAUAUGGGGAUAAUGAGAAAAUCAGCUCCGGCCUUCCCUGGUCUUCCAGCCAAGUGAAUGGGGGCAUCCCCUGGUGCUUCAGCCCGGGGCCCACCCAGAGGAUGCUAGCUGGCCUGCAGAGGCCUCAACCGUGCCCUCCUGGACUCAGGUAAGACUGAGGUUUCCAUGCCCUCAAAACAAUUGUUCAGACAAAAACUCACUGCCCAGGUCAAAGUCACAGCACCAGAAAGCCAACCUGAGGAUGAAGACAAAGCUCCUUGUUGGCACAGUCCCCUGAUCAUUCGAGGUCAGCAUCUCCAUCAAAAUGGACCCAAUGCUGAGGCAAGAAGGAGAACAUCACUGUUAAGAAGAUGGAAAAUGCAUUUGAGGUGGACUGAACACAGCCAGGAGUUUUUGCUUAUCGACAGCACUGAAUCCUGCCUUGACUAGAGAGACUCGUCAUGUGAUCAACUGUGGCCAGAGGGCAUCCUGCAGACAGCUCCUGUCACACCACACUGACCAGACUCCUAUGAGUAUUUAAGCAUCUUCAGGCAAGCGAUUGACUGUCUUGUAAUGGUCUUACAAGUACGGAACUUUAUUACCUGCUAAUAAUCAGAGCACAUGAUGGGACAAUAGAAUAUACGAGUGAAGUUCUAAAUGCAAGGUUGUUCUUAUUCUGUGAGUGGCAAAACUCAUGCAGUGAGCAGAUAAAGCUGGCAGGAGGCAUUGGCGCCCUAAUGCUGGGCACUAACCACCUGCCCGGACUGCGAAUAUCUGUUGGGUCCUUUCUAUAUCUGGUCUAUUCUCGUGUUUGAUUAUAUCCUGGUGGCAAGAGUAGCAAAAUCCACUCUCCUUCCUAUCCCAUGUGGAGAGGCAUGAUUUGAGUCAGAGAGCAUUAUCCUCUCUGCAUUAUCCAACCCCAUGUCCCAUGAUGCACUUUGUAGACAAGCAAGUGUCCCUGGUGGAGAAUCCACAGCCACACAUCCUCAUUGGUUGCAAGGAUCAGUGUCCAAUAUCUACUGCCAUGAUCAUUCUCAGUUUUACAUCCACAGAGCUUCAUAGAAUUCUAACACCACAGGUCCAAGUAGAGGUUUUGGCCUCAGAGUGGGCUAGAUUCCACCUCUGAAAGCAGCUGUGGGACUGUUUUUCCAUCUGUAAAAUGGAGACAAGAGUAUCACCUACCUCAUGGUGUUGGUGGGAUCGUUAAACAGAAUUCUGAUCAUGAAACCCUUAGCCUGCUGCCUGCAUAGGCUGCACGCGCUCAGUGACCUAUGGCUCUGUUUCAUGCUGACUUUACCAUCAUGUAAGCAGUUUUAAAAAUGCUAGAAGCUUUAGUCAUAGAAUUACCAUAUGAUACAGCCUACUGCAGAGUCCAGAGGCUGAGGCAGGAGAGUUACUUCAACCUGGGAGGCGGAGGUUGCAGUGAGCCAAGAUCGCGCCACUGCACUCCAGCCUGGGCAACAGAGUGAGAUUCUGUCUCAACAAAAAAAAAGAAGACAUGUGUCCCCAUCACAGUAUCAUACAGAGUGCUUCCACUGCCCUAAAAUACCCUGUGCUCUUCCUAUUCAUCCCUCUCUUCAACCCCAGCAACCACUGAUCUUUUUACCAUCUCCAUGGUUUUGCCUUUCCCAGAAUGUCAUAUUGUUGGAAUCAUACGCUAUGUAGCCUUUGCAGAUGGGCUUCUUUCACUGAGCAAUGUGCAUUGAAGGUGCCUCUAUGUCUUUUCAAGGGUUGAUAGCUCAUUCCUUUUUAUUGCUAAAUAAUAUUCCAUUGUCUGAAAGUACCACAUUUUGUUUAUCCAUUCACCUACUAAAGGACAUCUUGGUUGCUUCCAAGUUUGGGCAAUUAUAAAUAAAACUGCUAUAAACAUUGUGUGCAGGUUUUUUUUUUCUAGAUGUCAGUUUUUAACUCAUUUGGACUAUAGAGCACUAUUGCUGGAUCAUAUGAUAUGUGUGUGUUUAGUUUUAUGAGAAACUGCCAAACUGUCUUCCAAAGUGGCUGCACCAUUUUGCAUUCCCACCGUCAAUGAAUGAGAGUUCCGGUUGCUCCACAUCCUCACCAGCAUUUGGUGUUGUCAUUGUUUUGGAUUUUAGCCAUUUCAUAGGUGUGUAGAGGUAGCUCAUUGUUUUAAUCUAAUAAACAUCUUAUUGAAGAAUAACACACAAGCAGAAAAUUUCACAGAUACAAAUGAACAGCUUUUUCAACAAUCACCCACUGGAUACAUUUCUGUAUCCAGCACCCAGGCCAAGAAACUGACACUAACAGUGCCCUGUGCCCCUCUCGGGACCUAGAUCCACUUCCAAUAAUUUAGGCUUCUCUUAGGGAAUUUGCCUCAGAAAAAUAGAGAGAGAGAGAAAUCAAAAGGCAGACAAUCUCACAGAACAAACGAAUGAAGAAAUGAAUGAAGAAUAACAAUGUAGAAAUUUAAGCUCUUUAUGUGUGCACUUAUUACUACAAAUUCUAGUAAUUCUGGAAGCAGAUGUUAUUUACACAGAAAUAAAUACAGAGGCAUGUUGAUUCCGU
Molecule: long non-coding RNA, 3076 nt
Organism: Pan troglodytes (chimpanzee)
Lineage: Eukaryota; Metazoa; Chordata; Mammalia; Primates; Hominidae
Source: Ensembl